Molecule: long non-coding RNA, 834 nt
Organism: Haemorhous mexicanus (house finch)
Lineage: Eukaryota; Metazoa; Chordata; Aves; Passeriformes; Fringillidae
Exons: 3
Source: RefSeq, a predicted model, not a curated record
UUUAUUCCUAGAAGGCCAAGAAGAAAAGCAGAUAAACAGACAGGAACACAUGUUCCCGGUCCAUUGCACAAUAUCUAAAAGAGAUGAAACACAUUACAAAACUCAGAAGUGGAGCACAUUAUCUUUACAUCCUACAGUUUUGAAAUCAGAGAAGAAUAUUGUGGUUUCAAACCUCCUGCUGAACCUGAUUUCAGGCACAUCCAUGCUGGGACCUUAUUUCCUACUCUACAAUCUACUGAGAAUGCAGAUCUGUUUUUUAUACAUUUGGCUUGGGAACUGGCAACACCUGCUGCUCUCCUUAAUGACCUCUGCAGAGAUUGGCCUUUUGUCACCUGGACAAGAGCAGAAAAACUGCCCUGCUCGCUGGGGAGGAUGGUGGUGUGGGAAUGUGCAUGUGUGAGCUGAAGGUUGUGCUGCUUACCAGGCACGGAGCCACCUCCAGGACACUGCCUGGCCUUCUUUGUUCUGGUAAUGCUCCCUACUCCUCAGUGCUGAACACCUGGAGAUCAGACUAAGGGAACAGGAGGUGGUGGUGAUAGACAACUAAAAGAGGCAAAGGCAAGUGGAGUGAUACAAAAUGGACCAAAGCUGGGUUAACUGAAUGAUCCAAUCUCUGCAAGUUCUACCUUUUAACUGCUAUGCAAUACCUACUUUUAAACAAUGCGGGAAAAACCUAUUAGAUAGUCCUAUGUUAUAGGAAUAAUGAAUUCUUUUGUUUGUCUGGUUUUUGUGUUGAUGGGGGGAGGUGUUGUUUCUGUGGCACAAGAAGAGAGAAUCUGCAAUGAAUUAAUUUGUAUUCUGCUAUGUAAAUUACAGCAUCUUAUGAGCUCAUCA